RNAcentral lists this ribosomal RNA (331 nucleotides) under uncultured eukaryote. RNAcentral's name for it is "partial 18S ribosomal RNA". It matches the Rfam family "Eukaryotic small subunit ribosomal RNA", at positions 1470 to 1796 of the family's 1831-position model. The record is from RNAcentral.
CCCUUAGAUGUUCUGGGCCGCACGCGCGCUACACUGACGAAGUCAGCGAGCAUGUCCUACGCCGACAGGUGCGGGGAAUCUUGUCAAACUUCGUCAUGAUGGGGAUUGAUUAUUGAAAUUCUUGAUCAUCAACGAGGAAUUCCUAGUAAGCGCAAGUCAGCAGCUUGCGUUGAUUACGUCCCUGCCCUUUGUACACACCGCCCGUCGCUACUACCGAUUGAAUGGUUUAGUGAGAUCUUCGGAUUGGCGCCACUGCGGCUCAGCAAUGGGCUCGGUGGAUGCCGAAAAGUUGAUCAAACUUGAUCAUUUAGAGGAAGUAAAAGUCGUAACA